Molecule: ribosomal RNA, 311 nt
Filed under: uncultured eukaryote
Lineage: Eukaryota
Description: partial 18S ribosomal RNA
Rfam family: Eukaryotic small subunit ribosomal RNA
Source: RNAcentral
CCCCUAGACGGUCUGGGCUGCACGCGCGCUACAAUAAUACGCACAGCGAGUAUCACCGAGCUCGAAAGGGCAAGGUAAACAAUAGAAAAGGUACUGUAAUGGUUAUAGAUCCUUGUAAUUAUUGAUCUUCAACGAGGAAUUCCUAGUAAGUAUGUGUCAUCAUCACGCACUGAUUACGUCCCUGCCCUUUGUACACACCGCCCGUCGCUCCUACCGAUUGGGUGAGCCGAUGAAACUCUCGGAUGUAGGCUAUUCAUAGCCCGCAGAAGAGAUUUGAAUCGUAGCGCUUAGAGGAAGGAGAAGUCGUAACA